RNAcentral lists this ribosomal RNA (444 nucleotides) under uncultured Bacteroidota bacterium. RNAcentral's name for it is "bacterial SSU rRNA". It matches the Rfam family "Bacterial small subunit ribosomal RNA", at positions 28 to 469 of the family's 1533-position model. The record is from RNAcentral. Lineage: Bacteria; Pseudomonadati; Bacteroidota.
GAUGAACGCUAGCGGCAGGCCUAACACAUGCAAGUCGAGGGGUAACGAUGUCUUCGGACAGUCGACGACCGGCGCACGGGUGAGUAUCGCGUUUGUAACCUACCUUUAACUGGAGAAUAGCCCGAAGAAAUUCGGAUUAAUACUCCAUAAUACUAUGAUCUGGCAUCUUUUUAUAGUUAAGGCUCCGGCGGUUAAAGAUGGGCAUGCGUAACAUUAGUUUGUUGGUGAGGUAACGGCUCACCAAGUCAGCGAUGUCUAGGGGUUCUGAGAGGAUUUUCCCCCACACUGGUACUGAGACACGGACCAGACUCCUACGGGAGGCAGCAGUAAGGAAUAUUGGUCAAUGGGCGAAAGCCUGAACCAGCCAUGCCGCGUGCAGGAUGACAGCCCUAUGGGUUGUAAACUGCUUUUAUCAGGGAAUAAACCUAUCUACGUGUAGAUAGC